AUGUCCCAAUUUCCCCCCAAAUUCCCCAAUUUCCCCCCAAAUUCCCCAAUUUCCCCCCCAAACAUUCCCAAAUUUUCCCUCCCAAAUUCCCAAUUUUCCCCCCAAAAUCCCCAAUUUUUUUCACCCCAAACUUCAGAUUUUUUUCCCCUAAAAUGUCCUAAUUCCCCCCCAAAUUCCCCAAUUUCCCCCCCAAACAUUCCCAAAUUUUCCCUCCCAAAUUCCCAAUUUUCCCCCCAAAAUCCCCAAUUUUUUUCCCCAAAAAAUUCUGGGUUUUUUUCCCCCAAAAUGUCCCAAUUUCCCCCCAAAUUCCCCAAUUCUCCCCCAAAUUCCCAAUUUCACCCCCAAACAUUCCCAAAUUUUCCCUCCCAAAUUCCCAAUUUUCCCCCCAAAAUCCCCAAUUUUUUUCACCCCAAAAUUCUGAAUUUUUUUUCCCCCAAAUUGUCCCAAUUCCCCCCCAAAUUCCCCAAUUUCACCCCCAAACUUUCCCAAAUUUUCCCUCUCAAAAUCCCCAAUUUUUUUCCCCCAAAAAUUCUGGGGUUUUUUCCCCCAAAAUGUCCCAAAUCCCCCCCAAAUUCCCCAAUUUUCCCCCAAAAUUCCCCAAUUUCCCCCCAAAUUCCCCAAUUUCACCCCCAAACAUUCCCAAAUUUUCCCUCCCAAAUUCCCAAUUUUUUCCCCCAAACCUUCCCAUUUUUCCCCCCAAAAUUCCCAUUUUUUUUCCCCCAAAAUUUCUCAAUUCCCCCCAAAUUCCCCAUUUUCCCCCCAAAUUCCCCAAUUCCCCCCAAAUCCCCCAAUUUCACCCCCAAACAUUCCCAAAUUUUCCCUCCCAAAUUCCCAAUUUUUUCCCCCAAAUUUUCCCAUUUAUCCCCCCAAAAUUCCCAUUUUUUUUCCCCCCAAAAAAUUCCCAAUUUCCCCCCUCAAAAUUCCCAAAUUCCCCCCCAAAAUCACCAAAUUUCCCCCCCCCAAAUUUUCCCCCCACGAAUCGCUCAUCAAAGGCUCAUUGAUCACUAUUAA
RNAcentral lists this long non-coding RNA (1011 nucleotides) under Taeniopygia guttata (zebra finch). RNAcentral describes it as "lncRNA (ENSTGUG00000023046.1)". Lineage: Eukaryota; Metazoa; Chordata; Aves; Passeriformes; Estrildidae. The record is from RNAcentral.